UGAGGAAUAUUGGUCAAUGGGCGAGAGCCUGAACCAGCCAAGUAGCGUGCAGGAUGACGGCCCUAUGGGUUGUAAACUGUUUUUACGUGGGGAUAAAGUGCGUGACGUGUCAUGCAUUGCAGGUACCACAUGAAUAAGGACCGGCUAAUUCCGUGCCAGCAGCCGCGGUAAUUCGGAAGGUCCGGGCGUUAUCCGGAUUUAUUGGGUUUAAAGGGAGCGUAGGCUGUCUAUUAAGCGUGUUGUGAAAUAUACCGGCUCAACCGGUGGCUUGCAGCGCGAACUGGUCGACUUGAGUAUGCAGGAAGUAGGCGGAAUUCAUGGUGUAGCGGUGAAAUGCUUAGAUAUCAUGACGAACUCCGAUUGCGCAGGCAGCUUACUGUAGCAUAACUGACGCUGAUGCUCGAAAGUGCGGGUAUCAAACAGG
This 424-nucleotide ribosomal RNA is filed under the name Fusobacteriota bacterium. Its description in RNAcentral is "Fusobacteria bacterium partial 16S ribosomal RNA". It matches the Rfam family "Bacterial small subunit ribosomal RNA", at positions 355 to 776 of the family's 1533-position model. Lineage: Bacteria; Fusobacteriati; Fusobacteriota. The record is from RNAcentral.